RNAcentral lists this small RNA (41 nucleotides) under Chaetoceros neogracilis. Its description in RNAcentral is "partial Mitochondrion-encoded tmRNA". The record is from RNAcentral. Lineage: Eukaryota; Bacillariophyta; Thalassiosirophyceae; Chaetocerotales; Chaetocerotaceae.
GCUACUUUAUCUAGAGUUUCGAAUCGGCUAGAUGUGUGGUC